CCUACGGGAGGCAGCAGUGGGGAAUAUUGCGCAAUGGGCGAAAGCCUGACGCAGCGACGCCGCGUGAGGGAUGAAGGUCUUCGGAUCGUAAACCUCUGUCAGCAGGGAAGAACGGUCACUGUGCUAAUCAGCAGUGAAUUGACGGUACCUGCAAAGGAAGCACCGGCUAACUCCGUGCCAGCCGCCGCGGUAAUACGGAGGGUGCGAGCGUUAAUCGGAAUUACUGGGCGUAAAGCGCUCGUAGGCGGUAUGUCAAGUCAAGGGUGAAAUCCCCGCGCUCAACGUGGGAACUGCCUGUGAAACUGGCAAACUGGAGUGUGUGAGAGGAUAGUGGAAUUCCAGGUGUAGGAGUGAAAUCCGGAGAUAUCUGGAGGAACAUCAGUGGCGAAGGCGACUAUCUGGCACAUAACUGACGCUGAGGAGCGAAAGCGUGGGUAGCAAACAGGAUUAGAUACUCGAGUAGUC
Molecule: ribosomal RNA, 465 nt
Filed under: uncultured bacterium
Lineage: Bacteria
Description: partial 16S ribosomal RNA
Rfam family: Bacterial small subunit ribosomal RNA
Source: RNAcentral